Homo sapiens (human) is the source of this 969-nucleotide long non-coding RNA. NCBI's taxonomy places the organism in Eukaryota, Metazoa, Chordata, Mammalia, Primates, Hominidae. The record is from Ensembl.
AAGCUAAGGCUCAGAUCACUGUGGAUAUGUCCAAAUCCUCCAUGAGAUACAUCUUAGAGAAGGCUUUCCACCUGUGCACAGUGGAACACUUACAGUAUCCUCCUAACUUCUUUUCCUGACUCUGGGCUCUCUUUCUCCAGUUAGCCAAUGGGUAAUAGGUUAACCCUUUCCAACAUGACUAACCUCUUUAAUGAAAUGAAGGUGAUGAAGAUGAGGAGGAAGAUCAUUGUGAUAACGAUAAAAAUAUCAAGGCACAGAGAACGUAAGAAAUGUACCCUAGGUAACAUGGGUAAUAAUGGAGGAAGAAAGGAAGAGGAAGAAAACAGCAAUUAAUGAACAUAGACAAUGUGCCAGGAACAGUGACAUCAACCCUUAAAUAUAUUAGCUGGUUUAAUCUCCUGGACUCUGACCCCAAGUAUAGAGCCAGUUCCCUGUUCUUUACCAUCACACUGUACUGGUUCCUUGUAAAACAGCAAGAACAACAAAAUGUUGGUGGAGAGGCAAUGAAUUCAUGUUUUUGAGGAUCUAUUGUGUAUUAGAGCACAAGCCCCCAUAUUUAAUUCUAAUCACUAAAAUGUGAAGUGAGAAGAAGUUUUGAUGUGAGACUUUAGACAGUUGGGAAACAAAAUGGGCUACAUAAAUGGGAGAAGUGGAAGACCCUGAAAAUAUCCAUGUUUCAGUUGAAUUUGAAUUAACAAAAAAUGAAACUCUUAACCAGGAAUCAGCAAAAAGUUUAUGUAAGGGGCUAGAUAAUAAAUAUUUUAAGCUUUGGGAAAAUAUACUCUCUGUCACAACUUUCCACCUCUGCUGUUGUAGCAUGAAAAUGGCCAGAGAUGAUACAUAAGUGAAAGGGUUUGGCUGAAUACUAAUAAAACUUUAUUUACACAACAGCUAGUGGGCCAGAUUUGGCCCAAAGCCCAUAGUUCUCAGACCCUUGUUCGUAAUCUUCAGGUAAUAAAAAGAACACAA